GUCGCUGUGAGGCGGGUCUGAAGGAAGCCCAAGGCAAACCUGCGAUGCUUCGGCUUCGCUCAGAACAGGCUCUGAGGCGCAUAAACCCCAUAAAGAGGCUGUGAGGUCGAGCAAGUUGACCAAAAACAACGAAGCCCGAUGCGGACAAGGGGCGAAGCAAUUAUGCAGUCAGAUGCGCAGGGAAAGUCAACGUA
Molecule: non-coding RNA, 194 nt
Organism: Chloroflexi bacterium RBG_16_48_8
Lineage: Bacteria; Bacillati; Chloroflexota
Source: Rfam